RNAcentral lists this ribosomal RNA (423 nucleotides) under Triticum aestivum (bread wheat). RNAcentral's name for it is "partial small subunit ribosomal RNA". Lineage: Eukaryota; Viridiplantae; Streptophyta; Magnoliopsida; Poales; Poaceae. The record is from RNAcentral.
AUGAGAAGGGCUAUGUCACAGGUUAAGUGGCCCACCCCCAACCACUCGGGUUCAACCGCCGUCGAUAUCAUGCAUGUCCCCUCCGCUGAUCUCCUCUGGCUCGCUGUCAACAACUUGCCAUCCUACAUCACCAUCGAGCCCCUUUUGUCAUUUCUAAAGGACACGUUGUGCGAUGCUGGCUUGGGAUCCACAGCUUCCAAGUCAGACCUCAUCAACGGCGACCACAAGGAGGGUACCCUCUCUGGCUCUUCCAAGGGGAAAGAUCCCAUCUACUCUUUCAAGGGGAAAGAGCCCGUCUGCGACAUCAGGGAGGGCGCCCUACAGUCGUGCUCUUCCAAGGGGAAGGAGCCCAUCUGUGACAACAUGGAGCGCAUCCAGGAUCCCUGCUCUUCCCACAGGAACGAGCCCAUCUGUGAAAAGUGA